This 195-nucleotide ribosomal RNA is filed under the name uncultured Geobacter sp. Its description in RNAcentral is "partial 16S ribosomal RNA". It matches the Rfam family "Bacterial small subunit ribosomal RNA", at positions 338 to 524 of the family's 1533-position model. The record is from RNAcentral. Lineage: Bacteria; Pseudomonadati; Thermodesulfobacteriota; Desulfuromonadia; Geobacterales; Geobacteraceae.
CCUACGGGAGGCAGCAGUGGGGAAUUUUGCGCAAUGGGCGAAAGCCUGACGCAGCAACGCCGCGUGAGUGAUGAAGGCCUUCGGGUCGUAAAGCUCUGUCAGAGGGGAAGAACCGCCGGAUGGCUAAUAUCCAUUCGGUCUGACGGUACCCUCAAAGGAAGCACCGGCUAACUCCGUGCCAGCAGCCGCGGUAAU